GCGGUCGCACUAUCAUGGAUUAUAGAAAUAUUUAAAUAUACUAAUUAAAAAUUUAAAAAAUAUGAAAAAUAUUAAGCACUAUAAAAAAGAAUUCGAAUUUCACGCGAGAAAUGUUUUGCAUGAGAACUUGUUUAAUUAAAACGAGUCUAAAUUCAUAUUUGAACAGUGAUACAAGUGAUUGUUUUUGAAUGUUAAAAUCUUACCGUUAAUAAAAACAAUCAAAUAACAGCAACCUAAUUCAAGGUCCAAUAAUUGUGAAUUUAUCGGGCAGAGUGUGGAUAUAUAUUCUGAUCUCAGGAAAUUUACAUUCAGUUCUUAUUACCGAAGAUUUUGGAUUUAAAGAGUACUACAGUGCAUGUAUUUUUUUUAUGGAAAAAUAUAUUUCUACAAGAAAUCCUGUGGAAUUAGUGAAAAGUUUUGUAGAAAUAAUUACAAAGGGGGGAUUUUUACCAACUAUAGAAAAUGAUUGUUUUGAAUUAUAUACAGAAACCAAUUCAAGUGGUCUUAAAAAAUUGGUUCUGGAUUUUGGUUUAGAAAUUAUCCUAAUUUACACUGGAUUAUUGCUUAAAAAACGUAUUAUUGUUUACCAUAAAAACAUAGAGGAAGUUCAAACUGCCCUGUAUUUAUUUAGUCAGUUAAUGAAAUAUAGAAAACCAGAAUUAUAUCUCAUUCCAUAUGUUGUCAACCCGGAAAAAAUACAGGGAAAAUCAUUUUUCUUAACUGGAAUUACCAAAGACUGUAGUAGNAGAG
Molecule: long non-coding RNA, 750 nt
Organism: Agrilus planipennis (emerald ash borer)
Lineage: Eukaryota; Metazoa; Arthropoda; Insecta; Coleoptera; Buprestidae
Exons: 5
Source: RefSeq, a predicted model, not a curated record